UGUACUUUCUGAGCGGACAGGAGAUGUGUUUGAGGCGUGGUCCUGUUCCCGGACCUAUUUAUAAAACUAAAUUUACAGAGUGCAGUAGUAGUAGUACUAGUGGUAGUAGUAGUUGGCUUACUUAGCUAGCAUUAGUCAAUAAACAGUGGUUCUCAAAUCCAGGGGCAUUGUCGCUGUUGGGACUUGAGUGUAUAUGUGACCUCCUGCUGUUACUGCUGCAGUGUGAGCUCGACAGGCGAGCAGCAGCAGCAGCGCUGACAGACGCUUUGCCAGCAGAGCACAGAGGAGCCGACUGAGCUUGUAUACAAGUGAGAAGAUGCUUUGGGGAUGGGAAAUGUCUGUGAACUGCCAACUCCGGGGCUCUGUGCAGAUGUUCUACGGGCUUUAAGUCUGAGCGUUGGCUGAACCACUCAAGGUCACAUGCUCUCAGGAGCAGGUUUUCUGGCUGUGUUUGGCCGCGUUCAUCCUUCCCUCAAUUCAAGACGUCUCCCCUGUCCCCGCAGCUGAGAAGCGCCCUCGUAGCCCAACGCGGCCCUCCACCAUACCUCACCAUAUGGUCGGAAUUAGCCGGAGUCCUUUAAAUGCUGUUUGGUAAACUGUCGUUUGCCUUUUACCAAAAGCGACUUGAGUCUAUCCUCUCUGCCAUCAAGGCCUGAUUGAUGGGCUGCCACUGAGGUGAACACUCAAAGCUUUUUUUAAAUGGUUUCGCUAUCCUUGCCCUGAUCCACUGUGGAGGUUUACAGGGAGUUCCUUGGACUCCAUGGCGUGUUUUCGUCACAUGCAGUGGGAACCGUAGGACCUCAUACACACGUUGUGUUCUCACAUUCAGCCCUUGCGGGGAAGUUCAGGAAUAGGCCUGGACAUCAGUGCAAAUGUGUGAAAGCAGCUGUGCAGUCACAUCCCCACCUUGUGACCACAGGUGGGGAUUGGGAUACGGACAAAGAGCUUUGCUUUGUAUCUCAGUUCUCCAUUCACUGCAAUGUCUCCACGUUCUCCACAUCGCUGAAUUACUACGUCUACUGACAGUCAGGAGUGGCGACCCACUGUGACGUCACCUACGACUAGUUUGUGAACUGCUGUUUUUUGAAGCAUCGUGGCCACCGCUGUCUUGGAUUGUUUUGGAACCAGAAGUAACCAUAUUUGGACGAGCAGGGUUUGAGCCUGAGAGCUCGUCUACUGCUCGUCCACCCACGGCUUUAGCCCGCACCGACUGGAUGGUACUAUCUUUCCAUCACGAUUUAUCCGAGGCCCCAAUGCAUACAGUGCUUGAUCGUCUAUUUUACACUAAAAGAGGAGGCCACAGAUUAUAAAACGAACAUCAUGCUGUAUUGAAGAAGGGAGAAUACAGGUUGCAGGUGUAGUGUCUUUGACACUACACAGGCACUCCACAUUGACUUCACUUCCCAGACCCGUUGACUGCGUCCAUUUUUAUUUACAGUUUAUGGGUUCACAGUUCUUCUUACACUCGCUUGUAAACUCUUUUGUUUAGGUCAGCCUCUCUUGGUGGCUUCAUGUCACUUCAGAGAAACACACACACACACACACACACACACACCCACACAGUCGUGUCCCCAUGAUUUCAGACAACAUUUCAUUGACUUACUUUCAUAUCCUGGAGACCUACCUUAAAACAUGUCUUCACUUUAAUAGUAUAUGAUUUCCAAUGUGGGAACUUGCUUUAACCCCAUAAUGUGACAACAGUAGUAAUACCUGGACCACACAUACUGAGUCUCACACACACACACACACACACACACACACACACACACACACACAAACACCUUUCAAAGUAGGACAAGGGAGCACGUGGUCCCCCCUCUUUCAUAUUAUGCAGGCAGUUCUCAGACCCCAGCAAGGAUACAGAGCACCCAUGGGACCCUAUUACAAGUGACACCACUAGACUCCAUAACCUUAAAGCAACAUACAGUGACAGGACGAAAGGGGGGGGGGAGAGAGACCAUUAGAGAAUAAGAAAAAGGCAAGGAAGGAAAUGAGGGAAAAAAUAGCCCUGGGGGCAAAAAGAGAGGGUGGAUCAGUGUGACAAAAAAGGGGAAUGAGGAAGAGGAGCAGAGCGGGGGAAGAGAAGAAAAGAAGCCAGUGGAGGAGUCAGGAAGAAGUGAGAAAUGGAGAAACAACAGAGGCCGAGUACAUCGACAGUGACAGCAAUGGAAGGAGGACAGGGAAAAAUAAUAAUAAUAAUAAUAAUAAUAACAAGUAUGGAUAAUUCCGAAUGAAACGUUCUGGGAAAACGUUUGCUUUUGGUUAAGAAUGAAUCGCAAUGUGGCUUUUUCUGGAAAAUAAAAGGAUUCCCCCUCUAAA
This is a long non-coding RNA of Scophthalmus maximus (turbot), 2319 nucleotides long. RefSeq lists it as uncharacterized. NCBI's taxonomy places the organism in Eukaryota, Metazoa, Chordata, Actinopteri, Pleuronectiformes, Scophthalmidae. The transcript is spliced from 2 exons. The record is from RefSeq and is a predicted model, not a curated record.